UACGUAGGUGACAAGCGUUGUCCGGAUUUACUGGGCGUAAAGAGCGCGCAGGCGGUCGAUCAAGUCGAGUGUGAAAGCCCCCGGCUCAACUGGGGAGGGUCAUUCGAUACUGAUCGACUCGAAGGCAGGAGAGGGUAGUGGAAUUCCCGGUGUAGUGGUGAAAUGCGUAGAUAUCGGGAGGAACACCAGUGGCGAAGGCGACUACCUGGCCUGUUCUUGACGCUGAGGCACGAAGGCUAGGGGAGCAAACGGG
This 253-nucleotide ribosomal RNA is filed under the name uncultured bacterium. Its description in RNAcentral is "partial 16S ribosomal RNA". It matches the Rfam family "Bacterial small subunit ribosomal RNA", at positions 524 to 776 of the family's 1533-position model. The record is from RNAcentral.